CACCACGAGCCCCUGAUUUAAGAAGCAUGUGCACACUGGUGCCCACUCCCGGGGUUCUCUAGAGCAUAGCUCUGCUCCCAGAGACUCCAGCCUGGCAACCAGGGCCAGUUCCAGUAGUCCCCACUACCCUGCUACCAGACCCCCAAGUUCAGACCGGUAGCCCCAAGCUGUAUUCAAGGCUCACUGUCCUUUCUGAGGCCGCCUGGAGAGGCAGGUUUUCAGGCAGAAGAACCCUUUCACUCACAGGUCUUCUUCCAACGGCCCUGGCCCAUCACCCAGUGCCAAGGGCAGAGCACCCACUCCCAUCUUCCUAUGGCAGCUUAGCACAUCAUCCCCAUCAAUUACUUUUAUGUUUUCCAAAGGCUCCCAGAAUUCUUGGAAGAGCCAACUCUGAGAUUAAGUUGCCCCCCUCUAAGAAAGGGUAUGUACCCUGCUUUCAUGAAGCCAAGUCUUACCAAAUACUGUUGGUGGCUUUCUAAGAGAUGGCCCAGAUCCCUGUCUCCAUACCUCUUGCAGACUCCCUCUUCAUUAUUUACCUGCCUUCCCUAAAUUUGAUUUCCUCAGUGGCCAGCACAGACUUUGCCUCCGAAAUGCCUGCACCCAUUAGAGUCUGAUGGCCAAAGGUUGGUCCCAAAUGCUGCUUUCUAAGAGCUCCCAUCUCUAAUACCUCUGAAAAAUAAAGCGGUCCGUUGGGAAGCAAACAGGACGGCUGGAGCUACAGAAUGCCUGACUGCUCCUGUGUUAGUAUUGACACAGGCAAGGGGCCUGGCCCUGAGCUGCUGGCUGGCUCCUUAGAGAAAGCAAGCUCUGUUUUGAAUAGUGGAGUGGAUUCCGGGAAUGCUGGGGAGAUGCAGGUAACUACGUCCCGUGAAGUUCCCAUUUAUUUUUGCACCAACCUGACAUUCCCAAAUGAACUGGGCUGUCAAGGUUGUGACUGAUCUUCCCUUUUCCUUGCAAUGACAGUCUGUGUCCCCAAGUUAUUCAGUGCUGAUUCUCCUGGGAGUUAGGUCUAAGCAUAUCUUCUCAAAGACUCCCAGAGACAGGACAGAAAUGACGCCUCAAAGCCACCUUCCGCUGUGUGUCAUAACAGUGCACGCAAACAGGAAAAGCAUAUAUAUGUACUUGCAUACAUAUAUAUCUAGCAUGGGAUGACUCAAGUUUCUAACAGUGCCUGUGCUUUGAGAUUUUAGAAUGGUUGAGUACUUAAAAGACUGCAGCAUGAAUACUUCCAUUUGUAAUGAGUCUGUUAAGUCACUACUCAGAAAAACUAUCAGACACCCGCACCAGGGUCCAGUGGACUCUUUACACAGGCCCACUGGUUUUUAAAAGACUUCCUAUUUUAGUAAGAUCAUUUGGGCUCAUAGCUCAUUUGACUUACAUGUAAUUUUGAAUUUCAUAAACUUAGGUUACAGGAAGGAAAAGUGAACCAAAGAAAGAAGUGUUUGGCUUUGCAGGUUUGAGAACUCGGACUGUGGUCCUAAAAGGGAGGUUUGGUGCUCUGUCUCCAGAAACACCUGCCUUGGUUAGUUUAAAUGUUGACCCGCCCGAUUUAAUUGAGUGGAGAGACCCAGUGAUCUAUGGAGCCCUUUCCACAUCUGAGUUCUUAGGAGCUACCCACCCCAUGUGUGAAACAAGCAGCAAAAUAAAAAAUAAUGCUAAAGCAGCCAGGGGAAAAAAAUGUAUUGCUAAAAGCACAAGUUAGUUUUUGGCCCAGCACUUGUAGCAGCUGAUGUUUUCAUUAAGUUCUUCCAUUUUCACCAUUGCCUCUUGAGAUAUACUUCACAUUCCAGACACAGAGCAGUGUGGCCUGGAGCAAAAAGGGGCAGAGAGAAUAUAAAUUACCAGCGGCUCGCUAAGGCAAAUUCUUUGUGUGCAUUUGCCAGACAGAUAUUUGGGGGAAAACUGAGAAGGUUAGGAGAUCCCUAAAGCAAUGCAAUUUUUUAUUCCAGUACUGUGGAAUUAUUUUUAUAUCCGAGAGGACCCCACAUCUCAGCAUGUGAAAAUAUUUAUAUCCAGGGCAAAUAAGCUGUACCCUGGGCUGCAGUCCUGCAGUCGACUGUGUGGAGUCAGCAUUUCAGUCUUUUCCAGAAUGUGACAAUUACAGGAAAACUCAGAGCUCUGCCCGCUGAACAUCAAGCAGGAGGCUUAUCUGCUGCUGCUUUCAUGGAAAAUUCAAACUUAGGAUAAUGUCACUGUGAACACUUCCUUCAGAAAAGUAAAAACCUUCAGGCAACUUCGCAAUUUAGGAUUAGUUUCCCCUUUAAAAAAGAAAAAUGUUGAUCCUGUGAGCCGUAACUCCUAUAAGCAAAUGCUUGGGAAAAGAUUUAGUGACUACAGCUUUGUCUCUGAAGAAACUGCUGAAACCGCUUGUGAUUCUGCAUGUUUUCAAAGCUGGCAAAGGACAUAUGUCAGGAGCCUAUGGAGAGAACCAUAUGAGAUGGGUGUCUACUCCAGAAUUCUCUAAAACAUUCCACUCCAAGACACUUGGCUAUAGGUGGGAAGGUGAUGUUCUUCUUCUAUUGUGCACUAUUUUUUUCCUUCCCUCUUUUUUCUAUCAAAGAAGAAAAACUGUAGUUUGUCAGAUCACAUCCAUUAUUGCCUUUUCAACUUUCACAAGCUCUCCCAGGCAAAUUAAAUUGGACCUUGUUUCAGGUGUGUUUGUUUUUAAAGCCUGAGAAAAAUCUGUAUGUUUAGUUUUAGGUGGCCAAGAUGAUCAGUAUUUCUUAGAAUCCCUCCAAUUGAAAUUGGAUCCAAAACUUCAUAAAGGACUGUCUUCUAAUUUCCCUCAAGGCUCAAAAUCAGGAGACAGUCUUCAUUUUUUACUUUUAUUUAGGCAAGAAGGGAAAUGAGGGGUUUUCUUGGGGUUCAAGUAAUGCUUUAUAAAGUUGCCAAUUUAAAACCCCAAGUUUUAAUGUCUUUGAGCAAUGUUCCUUUAUAAUACACAGCGGUGGUAAGUUGGAUAACCCUGUGGGCUGUCCUAUUUGCUGAGAAGUUGUGUUGUUUUGAGAUGCUUAGCAUUUUUAAAGCCCUUACCUUUUUUGAAUAGAGUCUUAAAAAUACAUUCCAUUCCUAGGAUGUUCCUCCAGCGGUACAAAAUGUUCCGUGAAAUUGCCGUGAAGUGUGUUGACUCUUGUCCUCUUUCACUUGUCCAUGGAAAAGAAUAAGAAUAUGAGAAUGGUUUAUUGAGUCCACACCACACACCAGAUGCUGCUCUGGGUGUCCGCCCGCUUCCCCUCACAGCUGCAGUGUGUGAGACGAGAUUCCACACUGGGCUUUCUUCAUGUACUUCCCCCUUUCAAAAAUGAGUAAACUGAGGCUCGGCAUCCACACGCUACAGUAGUUAGUAUUGAAGCUACUUUAAAUAGCUUUUUGGAAUAAGUGAAGUAAGUAAAUAACAAGUAACUGUAUCAGAAAGUCAGGAUUUGAACCCAGGUUUGUUGGGCAUUUCUCAAAACCCUUGCUUUUUCCCUGGACACUAGGCUGCCUUUUUUCACAACAGUAAACAUUGACUUGCUGCUUUC
This is a long non-coding RNA of Manis pentadactyla (Chinese pangolin), 3521 nucleotides long. RefSeq lists it as uncharacterized. Lineage: Eukaryota; Metazoa; Chordata; Mammalia; Pholidota; Manidae. The transcript has 2 exons. The record is from RefSeq and is a predicted model, not a curated record.